UUUAAAUGGCUGCAGUAAUUUAACUGUACAAAGGUAGCAUAAUAAUUAGUCUUUUAAUUGAGGUCUGGAAUGAAUGGUUUAACAAGAAAAUAGCUUUAUUAAUUUUUAUAAAUUUGAAUUUAAUUUUUUAGUUAAAAAGCUAAAAUUUUUAACUGGGACGAUAAGACCCUAUAGAUCUUAUUUUUUUUAAAAUGAUUUUUUAUUUUGGAUAUUAUUUAAAAAUAAGAGAUAAAAAAAAUUCGUUGGGGUGACGUUAAAAAUUUUAAAACUUUUGAAAAUUUUUUCAUUUAUUGAUGACUAAUUGAUCUUUAAUUUAGGAUUAAUAGAUUAAGAUACCUUAGGGAUAACAGCGUAAUAAAUUUGGAUAGUUCAUAUUGAUAAAUUUGUUUACGACCUCGAUGUUGAAUUAAUUUAAAAUUUUGGAGUAGAAGUUAAAAGUUUAGGUCUGUUCGACCUUUAAUUAAUUACA
RNAcentral lists this ribosomal RNA (469 nucleotides) under Malaxella macracantha. RNAcentral's name for it is "partial 16S ribosomal RNA". The stretch from base 343 to 469 matches the Rfam family "Bacterial large subunit ribosomal RNA", at positions 2473 to 2600 of the family's 2925-position model. The record is from RNAcentral. Lineage: Eukaryota; Metazoa; Arthropoda; Insecta; Hemiptera; Delphacidae.